Molecule: ribosomal RNA, 253 nt
Filed under: uncultured bacterium
Lineage: Bacteria
Description: partial 16S ribosomal RNA
Rfam family: Bacterial small subunit ribosomal RNA
Source: RNAcentral
UACGAAGGGUGCAAGCGUUACUCGGAAUUACUGGGCGUAAAGCGUGCGUAGGUGGUUUGUUAAGUCUGUUGUGAAAGCCCCGGGCUCAACCUGGGAAUGGCAAUGGAUACUGGCAAGCUAGAGUGCGGUAGAGGGUAGUGGAAUUCCCGGUGUAGCGGUGAAAUGCGUAGAGAUCGGGAGGAACACCAGUGGCGAAGGCGGCUACCUGGACCAGCACUGACACUGAGGCACGAAAGCGUGGGGAGCAAACAGA